Molecule: ribosomal RNA, 467 nt
Filed under: uncultured bacterium
Lineage: Bacteria
Description: partial 16S ribosomal RNA
Rfam family: Bacterial small subunit ribosomal RNA
Source: RNAcentral
ACGAACGCUGGCGGCGUGCUUCGCCCAUGCCAGUCGAACGGAAAGGCCCUGCUUUUGUGGGGUGCUCGAGUGGCGAACGGGUGAGUAACACGUGAGUAACCUGCCCUUGACUUUGGGAUAACUUCAGGAAACUGGGGCUAAUACCGGAUAGGAGCUCCUGCUGCAUGGUGGGGGUUGGAAAGUUUCGGCGGUUGGGGAUGGACUCGCGGCUUAUCAGCUUGUUGGUGGGGUAGUGGCUUACCAAGGCUUUGACGGGUAGCCGGCCUGAGAGGGUGACCGGCCACAUUGGGACUGAGAUACGGCCCAGACUCCUACGGGAGGCAGCAGUGGGGAAUAUUGCACAAUGGGCGGAAGCCUGAUGCGGCAACGCCGCGUGCGGGAUGACGGCCUUCGGGUUGUAAACCGCUUUCGCCUGUGACGAAGCGUGAGUGACGGUAAUGGGUAAAGAAGCACCGGCUAACUACGUG